GGCGGCGUGCUUAACACAUGCAAGUCGAACGGUGAAGCCAAGCUUGCUUGGUGGAUCAGUGGCGAACGGGUGAGUAACACGUGAGCAACCUGCCCUGGACUCUGGGAUAAGCGCUGGAAACGGUGUCUAAUACUGGAUAUGAGCCUCUAUCGCAUGGUGGGGGUUGGAAAGAUUUUUCGGUCUGGGAUGGGCUCGCGGCCUAUCAGCUUGUUGGUGAGGUAAUGGCUCACCAAGGCGUCGACGGGUAGCCGGCCUGAGAGGGUGACCGGCCACACUGGGACUGAGACACGGCCCAGACUCCUACGGGAGGCAGCAGUGGGGAAUAUUGCACAAUGGGCGGAAGCCUGAUGCAGCAACGCCGCGUGAGGGAUGACGGCCUUCGGGUUGUAAACCUCUUUUAGCAGGGAAGAAGCGAAAGUGACGGUACCUGCAGAAAAAGCGCCGGCUAACUACGUGCCAGCAGCCGCGGUAAUACGUAGGGCGCAAGCGUUAUCCGGAAUUAUUGGGCGUAAAGAGCUCGUAGGCGGUUUGUCGCGUCUGCUGUGAAAUCCCGAGGCUCAACCUCGGGUCUGCAGUGGGUACGGGCAGACUAGAGUGCGGUAGGGGAGAUUGGAAUUCCUGGUGUAGCGGUGGAAUGCGCAGAUAUCAGGAGGAACACCGAUGGCGAAGGCAGAUCUCUGGGCCGUAACUGACGCUGAGGAGCGAAAGGGUGGGGAGCAAACAGGCUUAGAUACCCUGGUAGUCCACCCCGUAAACGUUGGGAACUAGUUGUGGGGACCAUUCCACGGUUUCCGUGACGCAGCUAACGCAUUAAG
Molecule: ribosomal RNA, 815 nt
Filed under: Microbacterium sp. RKHZ-58
Lineage: Bacteria; Bacillati; Actinomycetota; Actinomycetes; Micrococcales; Microbacteriaceae
Description: bacterial SSU rRNA
Rfam family: Bacterial small subunit ribosomal RNA
Source: RNAcentral